GCUUAUAAUCCAUGGACAAACCAUCAAAUAAAAAACUUAUUUUCAUUUUCUUUCUUUCUCUCUCUCUCUCUCGCAAUACCUUCUUCCUUAGCUUAUUCAUAAGCAUGGUUGAGGGGAAUGUUGUCUGGUGCGAAAUUAUUCAUGUAUCAAUUUUUUACGUGAAUGAUUUCGGACCAGGCUUCAUUCCCCUCAACAUAGACAUGCUGAAAUUAAAAUAUUCAGAUUUUUAAGAAGAUUUAAAUGUAUGCAAGCUUUAAGUCGUACUAUUAACAAGCAAAACAAAGUAAUUCAAAACUGCUUUAUGCAUGUUCAUCUUUUAAUCUGGUCAAAAACAGAUAAUUCAGUUAAGAUUUUCCAGAACAUGUGAACAUUUGCUGGCAAAGGUUGAACUGUUGAAUGAAUGAAUUUUAGAUAAAAGUGAGUGAUCACUUUUGAGCUUCAGGUUUAUUCUCCUAAUGUUGAAGUAUUAUUAUUGUCAAAUGUUAAUAAUUUAUAUUUGUUAUAUUUUUAAUUUAUGUAUAGAGCGCAUUUCAUAAUGAAAUUGUCUCAUACUCAUUUUAUAAACUUGAGAAGUAACUCCUAUUAUUAUAAAUUGGUUUAAAUAUAUUAUUUAUUCAUGGAAAAGUUUGUUUAUAGGAGCUUAAUCUAAUUUAGUUUGACUUUAAAAUUAUGAAAGUCAAAGACAUUUCUUAAAUUAUUGUUUUCAGCUGGAACAUAUAAGUUUUUAUCAUUGAAAGAAACAAAAUAAUGUGGUUAGAAAAAAAAAUUAAAAGAAAUAUUAGGGAUGGCAAUGGGUAUUGGACCCAACCCGAAUCCGUGGAUCCGUAUCUAUUUUUACGGAUUUGGAUCCUUAAAAAAUGGACCCGGCGGAUCCGGGUCGGGUCCGGAUUUGGAUCUGAGAAAAAUACCUAGACCCGAACCCAUUUUAUUUUUUUAUAUAUUAAUUUUAUUAAAUAUAUAUAAUUUUCUAAUUCUAAUUUUUCCUCCCAGACUCCAAUACUCCCCCUGUAAGCCCAGGCACUCACGAAUCAGGUGCACUUGAUAUAUUUUCUAAUUCUAAUUUGCAAUAAAGCUAUAUUUAUAGACUAAUGAUAAUAAAUUAUUAUCAUUAGUCUAUAAAUAUAGCUUUAUUGCAAAUUUACAAUCUCAACACCAUUCAAAAAUACAAAAAAAAAAAAGCAAAAACAAGUCAGACUCGUUUUGGAUCCGAAUCCAGUACUGGAUCCGCAGUAUCCACGGAUCCGAAUCUGGGUCUAGCAAAAAUGGACCCGCGGAUCCGAGUCCGAAUCUGAAUCCUGUUCUUGAAAACGGAUUUGGAUCCGGGUCCACCUGGACCCAGUCCAAAUCCGACCCGUUGCCAUCCCUAAUCGUACAUAUAUAUACUUAUAUAUUUGACUUUUUAGUUUUGACCAAUAAUAAUAUUAGAAUUUAUAUUUUCAAUAACCAACUACACCAAAACAAGCUUCGCUACCAUAGUCCAUAAAUAUACUAUGGUAUAAACAUACUCGCUCCUUUUUCAUUUUAAAGUCCGUUACAAUUGUUGGCUUUAAGCAAUUAAAAAUAAACUAAAUAUAAUAUAGUAUAAUAUCACAAAUUUUUCUCAUAUAAAACAAUUGUAUUUUAAAAACAGUUUUAAAUUGGCUAAAUAGUCCAGUCAAACCAAUUAAAACGUCUGCUUUGAACAUUAAAACACUCACUUUUUGAAUUUCAGAUAUGUAUCACAAUGAGACAAUCUACAAGAUUUACGUUAUAUUAAAUACAAAAUGUAAAGAAUGUUACGGUCUAAAUAUGAUGGGCUCAUGUCAUAAUAUAGUUGAAUAUAUUAUGUAUCGAUAAAAUAUGAUCGUAAAUAUUGCACAUGCCCAGAGGCGAGAACAUCCCCUAUGGUUCAUCCUACAAAGGAAAUCAAGUACAUUAACAUGAGCAUGAUAUUAAGAAGACAGCAAAGGCAUGUAUGUAAUGUCAAAGUACAAGCAACUUCUCACAAAAUUGCAGUGCUUCAAGUCUUUGGAUACAACAACAAUAUCAGUCCAAAUAUGAAUUCUGCUCGCACAUUAUAAUUCUGCAAAUGUUCAUUGUUCAAAGUACACAAUCUUAUCUUAUCCCAAGACCAUAAAAGUUUUCGUUCUUUUAAGCCGAUUCAUUUUCAAGUUUAAAUUAAUUGAUGUUAAAAUUAUGUUAUUUUCGGCUUUCAUUUAAGUUUAUUGUCUCUGUCUUUCUAACUUUGUAACACUUUAAAUUGUUUUAUAAUACUUCUUAUUAAAU
This is a long non-coding RNA of Amaranthus tricolor (Joseph's coat), 2265 nucleotides long. RefSeq lists it as uncharacterized. The record is from RefSeq and is a predicted model, not a curated record. The transcript is spliced from 3 exons. NCBI's taxonomy places the organism in Eukaryota, Viridiplantae, Streptophyta, Magnoliopsida, Caryophyllales, Amaranthaceae.